RNAcentral lists this ribosomal RNA (485 nucleotides) under uncultured bacterium. RNAcentral describes it as "partial 16S ribosomal RNA". It matches the Rfam family "Bacterial small subunit ribosomal RNA", at positions 28 to 507 of the family's 1533-position model. The record is from RNAcentral.
GAUGAACGCUAGCGAUAGGCUUAACACAUGCAAGUCGAGGGGCAGCGCGGGUAGCACUUCCUGUCGGCGACCGGCGCACGGGUGAGUAACGCGUAUGUAACCUGCCCGCAACAGGGGGAUAACCCGGCGAAAGUCGGACUAAUACCGCAUAAAACAGGGGUCCCGCGUGGGAAUAUUUGUUAAAGAUUUAUCGGUUGCGGAUGGGCAUGCGUACCAUUAGGUAGUUGGUGAGGUAACGGCUCACCAAGCCUUCGAUGGUUAGGGGUUCUGAGAGGAAGGUCCCCCACACUGGUACUGAGACACGGACCAGACUCGUACGGGAGGCAGCAGUGAGGAAGACUGGUCAAUGGGCGAGAGCCUGAACCAGCCAAGUCGCGUGAAGGAGGACUGCCCUAUGGGUUGUAAACUUCUUUUAAAAGGGAAUAAAAUGAGAUACGUGUAUUUUAUUGCAUGUACCUUGAGAAUAAGCACCGGCUAACUCCGUG